Molecule: ribosomal RNA, 833 nt
Filed under: uncultured Bacillota bacterium
Lineage: Bacteria; Bacillati; Bacillota
Description: bacterial SSU rRNA
Rfam family: Bacterial small subunit ribosomal RNA
Source: RNAcentral
CAAGUCGAACGAGAAAGGGGAGCAAUCCCUGAGUACAGUGGCGUACGGGUGAGUAACACGUGGAUGAUCUAUCUCUUAGUGGGGAAUAACCCUGGGAAACCGGGGAUAAGACCGCAUAAGCUCGAGAGAGGAAAGCAGCAAUGCGCUGAGAGAGGAGUCCGCGGCCGAUUAGCUAGUUGGCAGGGUAAAAGCCUACCAAGGCAGAGAUCGGUAGCCGGCCUGAGAGGGCACACGGCCACACUGGCACUGAAACACGGGCCAGACUCCUACGGGAGGCAGCAGUGGGGAAUCUUGCACAAUGGGGGCAACCCUGAUGCAGCGACGCCGCGUGAGCGAUGAAGCCCUUCGGGGUGUAAAGCUCUUUCGGCAGGGAAGAUAAUGACGGUACCUGCAGAAGCAGCUGCGGCUAACUACGUGCCAGCAGCCGCGGUAAUACGUAGGCAGCGAGCGUUGUUCGGAGUUACUGGGCGUAAAGGGUGUGUAGGCGGUUGUUUAAGUUUGGUGUGAAAUCUCCCGGCUCAACUGGGAGGGUGCGCCGAAUACUGAAUGACUUCGAGUACGGGAGAGGUGAGUGGAAUUCCUGGUGUAGCGGUGAAAUGCGUAGAUAUCAGGAGGAACACCGGUGGUGUAGACGGCUCACUGGACCGUAACUGACGCUGAGACACGAAAGCGUGGGUAGCAAACAGGAUUAGAUACCCUGGUAGUCCACGCCCUAAACGAUGCAUAUUUGGUGUGGGCAGUUCAUUCUGUCCGUGCCGGAGCUAACGCGUUAAAUAUGCCGCCUGGGGAGUACAGUCGCAAAGGCUGAAACUCAAAGGAAUUGACGGGGGCCC